GUGAAUCAUCGAAUUUUUGAACGCAAAUUGCACUCUCCUCUGAGAGUAUGCCUGUUUGAGGGUCAGCCUAUAAAAAAUCGACAUAGUCGCUGUUUCGCGGUGACAUUCGUCGGAAAUGGGGGCAUCUUAAAUCUUUUGGGUUUAAGCGACUUAAAAUUUUCUUUUUGAUUCCAUGCACGUGUGUCUAAGAUUUAUUUCUUUACACGUUUAAGGUAUCUUUUUUUACUAGACGUGACCAUCAUAUCGGAUCGCAUCCAUAAUC
Molecule: unclassified non-coding RNA, 262 nt
Filed under: Glomus sp.
Lineage: Eukaryota; Fungi; Glomeromycota; Glomeromycetes; Glomerales; Glomeraceae
Description: partial contains 5.8S ribosomal RNA and internal transcribed spacer 2
Rfam family: 5.8S ribosomal RNA (bases 1-65)
Source: RNAcentral